This is a long non-coding RNA of Lagopus leucura (white-tailed ptarmigan), 902 nucleotides long. RefSeq lists it as uncharacterized. The transcript has 2 exons. Lineage: Eukaryota; Metazoa; Chordata; Aves; Galliformes; Phasianidae. The record is from RefSeq and is a predicted model, not a curated record.
CCCUCCGCAGUGACCUCCGGCUGCGGCCGGGAGCGGCGCGGGGCCCGGCGGGUGUCGGAGCCCGCGUUAGAGGAACGGCGGCGGAACGGGAGCCCGAAUGCAACCCCCGCGUCCGGAGGAAGGGAAGGAGCAGCCACGUGUCGCCCGAACGCUGAAGCGGUGCGCGGAGGUUCCUUCCUCGGAAUGCGUGGGGAGACCCGGGCGUGGGUAAACCGAGCCGAGCCGCUCCGGGAAACGGGAUCCCUCGUGGCUGCGAUUCGCUGAAAUAUUUCUCCCCGCGACCUCGGCGGCUGCGUCUCUCCGAGGGGAAGGGAAAAGCGCAGCUUCGAAACGCUGCCCCGUUCAUUUCUGCCCUUUCCCGGCGGCCCCGACCCGAAGGAACGCCGCGCUCAGAUGCCUUUCAGAAUGACCGGGAAGCACAAGGACAGAAAAACGCGUUUUGUGCAUCAGCCGCGCUGCUUUGCGCUCUCACACUCCCUCUAUUUAUCUGCGCGCAAAAGCCGCGCAGCGCAGCGCUCUCCUGCAGCUCGCUGCCCCACCGACACCUCUCCCUGCACCGAAACACGCUCAGCAGACGCUGCCAUUCUUAUUUCUAGCAGAAGCUCUGGCUCUCCCAGCCCUGUAAACACGCGGUAUAAAUCGGCCCUUUCGGAUUUUCCCCCCAAACCGUUCCCAGCCCCAGGAAUUCCUCCGAAUUCGUUACGCUGCUCGAGGCCGCGCUUUGCAGGGCCGGGGAAAGGUAACAUCGCCCGUCUGAAAAUAACGAGUCACGAAAAGAAAAGCGACGUUCACGUGUGAAUAUCGAACUUCAACCGUAUUGUCACCGCCGCCGUAAAAGAAACGCAGCAGCUUGCUUUAUUCCAGGAGAGCGCGGCCAUUAAAGAGAACUUGAGGAACCCUAA